UUGAACGCUGGCGGCAUGCCUUACACAUGCAAGUCGAACGGCAGCACGGGGCAACCUGGUGGCGAGUGGCGAACGGGUGAGUAACGUAUCGGAACGUACCUUAUAGUGGGGGAUAACUCUCCGAAAGGAGUGCUAAUACCGCAUAUUCCAUGAGUGGGAAAGCAGGGGAUCGCAAGACCUUGUGCUAUGAGAGCGGCCGAUAUCUGAUUAGCUAGUUGGUGAGGUAAAGGCUCACCAAGGCGACGAUCAGUAGCUGGUUUGAGAGAACGACCAGCCACACUGGAACUGAGACACGGUCCAGACUCCUACGGGAGGCAGCAGUGGGGAAUUUUGGACAAUGGGGGCAACCCUGAUCCAGCAAUGCCGCGUGAGUGAAGAAGGCCUUCGGGUUGUAAAGCUCUUUUGUCAGGGAAGAAAAGGUCUCUCCUAAUAUGGGAGGCUGAUGACGGUACCUGAAGAAUAAGCACCGGCUAACUACGU
Molecule: ribosomal RNA, 480 nt
Filed under: uncultured bacterium
Lineage: Bacteria
Description: bacterial SSU rRNA
Rfam family: Bacterial small subunit ribosomal RNA
Source: RNAcentral